RNAcentral lists this ribosomal RNA (468 nucleotides) under uncultured bacterium. RNAcentral's name for it is "partial 16S ribosomal RNA". It matches the Rfam family "Bacterial small subunit ribosomal RNA", at positions 28 to 507 of the family's 1533-position model. The record is from RNAcentral.
GACGAACGCUGGCGGCGUGCUUAAUACAUGCAAGUCGAACGGAAAGGCCCGGCUUUUGUGGGGUGCUCGAUUGGCGAACGGGUGAGUAACACGUGAGUAACCUGCCCUUGACUGUGGGAUAACUUCAGGAAACUGGGGCGAAUACCGGAUAUGAGCUCCUGCUGCAUGGGGGGGGUUGGAAAGUUUCGGCGGUUGGGGAUGGACUCGCGGCUUAUCAGCUUGUUGGUGGGGUAGUGGCUUACCAAGGCUUUGACGGGUAGCCGGCCUGGGAGGGUGACCGGGCACAUUGGGACUGCGAUACGGAGCAGAAUCGUACGGGAGGCAGCAGUGGGGAAUAUUGCACAGUGGGCGGAAGCGUGAUGCAGCAACGCCGCGUGCGGGAUGCCGGGCUUCGGGUUGUAAACCGAUGUCGACUGUGACGAAGCGUGAGUGACGGUACUGGGUCAAGAAGCACCGGCUAACUACGUG